This 723-nucleotide ribosomal RNA is filed under the name Triticum aestivum (bread wheat). Its description in RNAcentral is "partial small subunit ribosomal RNA". Lineage: Eukaryota; Viridiplantae; Streptophyta; Magnoliopsida; Poales; Poaceae. The record is from RNAcentral.
AUGGAGUUGCUGGCCAAAAUAAUUUCAAACAAAAUGAAAGCUGACAAGGGAGGAGAGGACGUGCGUCAUGUUGUUCUGCUUCUUGAUGAGGGAGGUGAGGAGGGGCCUGAAGAGCGGGGACUCGAGGAGCAUACCCAGUACGCCUUGGCGGCGAACGGAAUCCCCUUCCUCCUCCUUUGCGGACUGGCGCACGGCCGAGGCGGCGACCGGCGCGUAGGCCCACGCACACCCGAGGUGGCGCAAGCGCAGCGCGAGACACUGCUGCUUUCCCCGUGCCUCCUCCGGCGUCGGGGGCAACGAGGAGGAGGUGUCGCCGCAGCGCGCAAGCAGGAGACGCAGCGGGAGGAAGAAGAAACAACUUUGGGGGUGAAAGAGGGGAGAUUUGGGAGGCAGGCAAGGGGGCCAGGGGAGCUGCGCGAGGCAGGAGGGAGCGGUGGCGUAGGCAUCCCCGGCGGCGGAGGAGGACGUGCGGGAGAGCAGGGGAGCAGCACGGUGAAGCUGAGCAGGGGAGCUCCGGCGUCGAUGCGCCCGUGUCGGAGCGGCGGGGUGUGUCGAUUGGAGAAGACGAGGAGUGCGGGUUGUGUCGGGAGUUUGGGGAGGGGUUUUCUGCAAAAACGCCAUGGAGACAACUUUUCCCGGACGGAGGGAGUACUAAUAUACUUCCUCCCUCUGGGUUUAUUUGCCCCCCUUGUUUGGUGCAAGUUUGACCAUUUCUUUGACUAA